CGGCUGCCGCGCAUUGAGUAGGGUUGGCAAAGUCAGGCUGUUUUCAUAGAGAAUGAUUUCCAUGCGUAACCUGUGGCAGGUGGGGGGAAGUCUGUCCAAUCUGCGGAGACCCCCUUAAGAGCCCCCGUCCCUUCCUCUUUUGGUACCCACAUGUGGGGAUUCACUUUACUAGCAGGGAGAAGGUAACCACGUCAUGACCUGCCUCUGUGGCACCAUCACCAGCUGGUGGGCCAGAAACCAGGCAUUCAGCUCUGUUACAACUGGCAAGCACUGAGGAGUUAGAACUCCAAUAAGUGAGACCCAUUUAAAUGCUCUACAGCAGGGGCAGUGCAUCCCACUUUCCCCUGAGGGAAAACAGGAAGGUCUGCCCCCUGCUACCCCGCCCCCCAGGUGGGGCUUCAUGGCGGCUGUGGCAAAGAUGGGUGGGGCAUCCUUGAGAUUGUGCUGCAAUCUCACCCUUGAGAUUGUGCUGCUUUGCCGGUUGUGGCUGGCAGUUCUGAAGGGGCAAAGUGAAGCAACUUCUGUUCCCUUUCACUGAAACUAUUCUCCACACACAGACACCGACUUUAGGUUUUGUUAAUUAUUAUAGCAUCUGCUGUGUUUAUGCUGCUUAGGAUUCACUGAAGCAAUUCGGCAAGCAGUUUAGGGUUGCCAUAUUUUGCAGAGCAAAAAAGAUCACUAUCACAACUCUCAUUUUUAAAAAAGAGGACGUGUCCUGGAAAAAGAAGCAACCCUAAGUAAUAUGGCCAAAGAGACAAUCUAGAGCAUAGCAAUCCUGAAAGAACAAAUAAAUAUAACAGUUAUGUAGCAGCUAAAUGUUGGACAGAAAUUGUAUUUUAUGGGGUUUUUGUGAAUUGAAAUUUUGGUUGAUUAAUCAUAUUAAGUUGCAACCAACUAAGUUCUACUCAAAGUAGACUCCUUUAAAUUAAUGGGCCUGUUUAAUAGGUCCAUUAAUGUCUGUGGGUCUGCUCUGAGUAUGACUAUCAUGGAAUGCAGCCCAUUAAAUUUAACUGAUUAAUUACUAUAUUAAUAACAUAGGGAGGCCUAAUCCCCAACACUGAACCCAUUUUGAUGCCAAAUUAAGAUCUUGCUUUUCAGAGCAGCCUUUGACAAGGACUGAAGGCUCUUUUAGUUGCUUUAUAUUCUCUUUUAGGGUUGUUUCCCCCUUUCUUGAUCUGGUGCUAUCUCAAUUUUGAUGGUAAGAUUACUUACCUGCUUUAUGCUGUUCUGUGUUUUUACUGUCAUAAUGUGAUUUUGCUUUGGUUUGUAAACUGCUCAGAUUUAUUUUAAAGAAGAAUGGGCCAUUUAUAUUACUAUUUCACAAUAAGCAGUAAUUAAAACUGUGAUCCUUUGCAUAUUUAUUCAGAAAUUGUCGCACGUAUGUGUAGGAUUGCACCCUAAUUCUGCAUACAUGUGCAUAUUAAUAAAACAGGUCUCAAAGAGGAAGGGAAAUCUAUCUUUGGUUAGAUUUAUGCCUAAGCCUUGCCUCUGCAUGCUUAGCUUUUGAGCUCCCGCUCCUUCCUCACUUCUUGGCUUUUAAGGGUCUGUCUUCCUCCUAUCCUGGUGCCACAGUUUCACAGUUUGGAAGUCAUAGGAAAUAUGGUUGCCUGUAAUUUAAGACUUCCUGGGUCAAAUAUGGCAAGCACAGAGUCCACUGUGCACAGGCACACAAGAUUUAUGUGUAUCUUGAUUUAUUACACCAAGAUGCACACAUCCAAACCAGGCCUUUGUUUGGAACUGUGGCACGUACAUGUUCCAGAAGGCAUUGGUGUGUAGUUUUACAAUAAAUUUUAUUUAUUGAAUUUACAAAUUUUACACAUUUUUGUGUUUUAGAAGGGGCAUUCCAUCCUGUGAGAGAGAUUAAGAAUGCUUCUUCUAAAACUAGUUGCACUGAAAUAAUUAAUUUUGUCAAAAGAAAAAAGAAAAAUCCACUUCCACAUUAACCGGGGUGCCUUUUUUAAACGUCAAAAGCUUUUGAACUGCAUGACGUUAAGUAUCUUUGACAAUGCACACCAUAUUAAGAAUCCCUUGCCAAAAGUAUUAAUCAAUUAAAUAUAUUUUUAUUUCCAAAGGGCUAGUGUAAUUACUCACAUUUUAGAUUAUUUUCUUUUGCCCUGUGUGAUAACAGCUAAACAUAUAAAGAAUGCUUUGUAGUAUCUAAAUGAAAAGUGCUAUAAAAAGCACAAAGUGUUUCCUAAACCCCUCCUGACUUCUUGCAUCUUUUUUCAACAAGCAAGGCUGGAACAAAGAAGCACAAAGUUACCUUGAGGAGCAGAGGAACAAGACGAGAGCCACACCGGGACGGCAGCUGGCAUUCUCGUUUGCUGUCAUUAGCUUGGAUCACAUGUCCGUACGGGGAGAAUCGUUUUCUAAUUCUUACUGGGAAGAGGAGAAAGCCGGAAGAGAGGGGGCAUUCAUUCUGCAUCUUUCAGAAAAGACCUUAAAGACCUUUUUAUUAUGCUGCUGUCUUCGGG
Non-coding RNA from Podarcis lilfordi (Lilford's wall lizard), 2474 nucleotides. Lineage: Eukaryota; Metazoa; Chordata; Lepidosauria; Squamata; Lacertidae. The record is from the annotation of a GenBank genome assembly.